UCCCCCUUCCAAAUUUCCCUGUAAGGGAGGGGCAGCUUUUUUUGUUUUGGGGGCCAAACUUCAACGUGAGAAGGGUUUCCAGGGCCAUAUGCCAGCAGUGGGAGGGAUUAAGUGCACCAAGGACAGCCAAACCAAGCAGUCCCUUUACUUACUCUGGACCCCUCCCUUUAUUUUCACAAUGAUUUUAUGAGCAGAGGAAAAUAGAGCAAUUUACCUACAAAGAAACUGAACUUCUGCAGGUACUUCCCCAGAAUUGUCCCUUUGAAUUCAGUGUAUUUAUUCCUUCUGUGUACGUACACACAUGCAUGCACAAGGUUGGGCUGUCAGGGGGACUCAUGAGUUGCAUGCCUAUCUGCUCAGAAGACAACUUACUCAGAAGUAAAAGAACUGAACUUACUGUGAGAAAGAGGAAAGACCCCCACACUCCUGAGAAAGUGUGCUCAGCAGCUUUUCCCAAACUUGUACCCUCCAGAUAUUUUGGACUAGAACUCCCAUCAUCCUUGGACACAAGGCAGAGCUUUGAACCUACGCUUUUCUGGUUUUCAUCCAACAUGUCAUUAACCAUCCACACAGAUCAUUUUCCACAAGAAGUUCUACGGAGGCAGCCUGUCCAGUGGUGAAUGAAUCUGUGGCAUCUUUGACAGGCAGAAGGUUUGGACCCGAAUUAAAGUCAUCACAAAUAUAAAUAUCCUGGCAGAAGAUUUUGAAAACAAAAAACAAGUACCCAGUUAAAACUGUGGACAAGAUCUGGGUUUAAUUCCUACUGCGACAACACAGUGACACGUGCUCUCACUUGAUGGCUUACCUAAAUGCCAAUGGCUUGACGCUUCAGGUAUCAAAGAGGCAGGCGUGGGGCUGAGUUUGGCUUUGCAAAGAGGCGCUUAUUGAACACGAUCUCUAAGACAAUGAAAGCAAAGAGGCGCUUGGAGCCACAGCACAGCCUGCAGUCAGAAAGUCUCCCAGAUAACAGUGCCAGAUAACUGAGGUUUUGCUGCAAGCACAGUAUACUGGGCUCUUUCCUCACUGUUUUUAUUUUACCUUUUCAGAGACUUAUACUACAAAUUAUCCCAGCACUGCA
This 1078-nucleotide long non-coding RNA is filed under the name Pogona vitticeps (central bearded dragon). RNAcentral describes it as "lncRNA (ENSPVIG00000023538.1)". The record is from RNAcentral. Lineage: Eukaryota; Metazoa; Chordata; Lepidosauria; Squamata; Agamidae.